This 467-nucleotide ribosomal RNA is filed under the name uncultured bacterium. Its description in RNAcentral is "partial 16S ribosomal RNA". It matches the Rfam family "Bacterial small subunit ribosomal RNA", at positions 28 to 507 of the family's 1533-position model. The record is from RNAcentral.
GACGAACGCUGGCGGCGUGCUUAACACAUGCAAGUCGAACGGAAAGGCCCUGCUUUUGUGGGGUGCUCGAGUGGCGAACGGGUGAGUAACACGUGAGUAACCUGCCCUUGACUUUGGGAUAACUUCAGGAAACCGGGGCUAAUACCGGAUAGGAGCUCCUGCUGCAUGGUGGGGGUUGGAAAGUUUCGGCGGUUGGGGAUGGACUCGCGGCUUAUCCGCUUGUUGGUGGGGUAGUGGCUGACCAAGGCUUUGACGGGUAGCCGGCCUGGGAGGGUGACCGGCUACAGUGGACUGAGAUACGGCCCAGACGCCUACGGGAGGCAGCAGUGGGGAAUAUUGCACAGUGGGCGGAAGCCUGAUGCAGCAGCGCCGCGUGCGGGAUGCCGGCCUUCGGGUUGUAAACCGCUUUCGCCUGUGACGAAGCGUGAGUGACGGUAAUGGGUAAAGAAGCACCGGCUAACUACGUG